This is a long non-coding RNA of Rosa chinensis, 2059 nucleotides long. RefSeq lists it as uncharacterized. NCBI's taxonomy places the organism in Eukaryota, Viridiplantae, Streptophyta, Magnoliopsida, Rosales, Rosaceae. The transcript has 4 exons. The record is from RefSeq and is a predicted model, not a curated record.
AGCUCUGUGAGAGAAUCUUAAUAUCUACUUCCUCGUGAUCUUUCUUCUAUUUCCUCUCUGUUAAUCUCACUGCAUUAUCUUCUACACUUUUCUCAGGUUGAACCAAAGAUCGGAGAUAAAAUUCCUCAAAGAAAAAAGUCACGGUUCUUUUCUCUUUCGCUCUCUCGAGAUCUCAAACAAUUUUGAUCAGUUUCUUCUGCCGUGAUCCGCCAAAACACGUCAUCGUCGGCGAGGUUGGAAGGACUAACGUCUCCGGGAACGAUGCCUUCGCCGCGAUCUGCAACAAGUACGACCGAUACGACAUCUACAAGUAGAAAGACUCUAACGUCUCCGGUGCCGAUGCCUUCGCUCGCCUCUACUCCGCCAUCGAGUCCGACAUUGAAGCUGCUCUUCAGAAAGCGGAGCUUGCUUCAAAAGAAAAAAGUAUGGCAUCUGCAGGUGCUCUGACUGCCAAGAUUCCCGGACCAAGGCUCCAUUGCUUGAAGAGGUUCCCAAGUUGCAGAGAUUGGCUGUAAAGAAGGUUGGCCUCCACUGUUUGAAUCAAUUCUAUUUCCGUGCUUCUUCGUAAUUGUGCAUUUCAUAAAAUUGUUUGAUAAAUUGAUGUUUAGUGCAGUCCUCUGCAUAUAUGCUAGAACUUGUUUAGCGCUGGAAGGUGAUUUUGGAUGGGUAUUGAUUGGACAAAAGAUGAUUGCUUUUGAAGAGAAUUCUUGGCAGGAGUUCGAUUUGAGGUGCGGACCUACUUGGCAUUGCAUCGUCGUUCGCAAUUUCGGUAACUCCUUCAAUUUUCAGUUUCAUAUUCUGACCUGCUUUAUUUUUUUUUUAUUUUUUUUUUCUAUCGAGGUGUUUUGGUCAAGAUUUAGUAUGUGAUAGAAUUGAGUGAUGGUGAACAAAUCUAAUGGAUAGUGUUGUGCUUUAAGUAGCAAUUUUGAUGAGAAUGGAUAGAGCUGUUUAAGAAGGAAUAGAUCUAAGCUUUGUUUGAAAAUUUACAGUUUUUUAAGUUGACAAGUAGAAUGGUCUAAUGGAUAAUUCUACUUGGUUCUUCAAGCUUGACGAGUCUGAAAGUUGAAGAUAAUUAAAUCAUCAGGUCUUUUGACGGGUUCGGGUGCGGAUUCGAGUGAGUUUGGAUGAAUUCGAUUUACAUUUUCAAUUUCUGUUCUUGUUUCUGUUUGGAUGGCCUGGAAUUAAAGCAAGGAAAUUUUGGCGGUGGUUGUAGUCUGCUGGUUUAGUAGUGAAGAAGUUAGCUUUAGUUAUUGGUUUUGACUUGCAUUUUUGACAAGUGAGAGUUGAGUUUCAAGUAUCUUUAAAAUUUUGGUUAUUGUAGUUGUAGCUGAUUGUUUAUGCUGGCUUUGAUGGAGAAUGAGAAUAACUCUUGCUCGUGCACUCUUUAUAGAGCCUGACUUGUUACUGCUUGAUGAAGCCACAGUAUGUUGGUCAUAUCCUUUGGGAUUUUCAUUAGAAUUCUUUAAUGUUUGGCAUGUGUAUUUCAUUUAUAGAGGCAAGAUGAACUAUUAAGAUUACUGAGAAUUUAUGAAAGAUCUGGUUUUAGCAUAAUGAAAUAACAUCACAGCAUUAAGUACCUGGGCAUGUUUCAUGUUUUUUUUUUUUUUUGAAAACUUGCAUGUUUCAAUGUUUCAUGUAUUGAUGAUGUGCACAUGCACACACGGAUGUAUGGCUACUGCUUUGCAAUUGAGAUUUGUUGAAUUGUACCUAAUAUGUGAUACUUACAAUUUAAAUGUUGUGGUGUUUUUAUUCAAAAACUGAUCUUGUUGAUGCUUACAGUUUACAUGGUUGGUCAAGGAUCGGCUCAGGUGCCAAGGGAAAAUGGAUUUUUCCUAAAAGGUCAAGGAUUGGCUCACUUGUGAGAUGGUAUUUGUCAGAAAUUGCUGGAGCUGAAACCAAGAAUGCCUCAUGGAAUUUUUUGUAUAAAUUGUAUGAUGCACAAGUUGUUCUUUAUCAUUCAGGAGUACAACAAGAUGUUGAAGCCAAGCCAUGUGUCCCAAUAGUUUAUUAAUAGAUAAAAUGUCGUUUUUCUUUACUGACUAUAGAGCUCAAUUUUGCA